Molecule: long non-coding RNA, 1544 nt
Organism: Cydia fagiglandana
Lineage: Eukaryota; Metazoa; Arthropoda; Insecta; Lepidoptera; Tortricidae
Exons: 2
Source: RefSeq, a predicted model, not a curated record
AAUAGGCACUCAUAUAUUUUUUCUGAAUAAUAAUUGUGGCACCGCACGUGGCAAGUCAAACAUUAAAUAUUGAAAUAAAAUUAAAUAAAAUAAUCAUCUGGCAUUUGAAAAGUGUGAAUACAAUGUUUUUAUAUUUUACAGAUAAAUUACAGGUGAUAAUUUUACAAAUGAAAUGAGUUUCUGCCACCAGUGCCACCCUAUUAUAAAGCCUUAGAGGAUAUAACCAACGGAGACGCCAUGUCUAAAAUUUUCGGUACAAAAUAGUCUGCCGUUUUUUGCGGGGGAGGGGCACAUCAAAUGUAUAGGUACGUCAAGUCAGCCAAACGUCAGUCCAUACAUAUGGUUGACAUGUGGUUGACCAUUGGCCGCCUAUUUUCGACAGAGGGGAACGCCUGUUAAUGGCGGCUCCAUUGUUAAUUACUCCGAGGUUUUACCAGCUUUUUAUCAGAAAAUAUUUAUCAACAUUCUUGUAAAAUAAAACAUUAAUCAAAAUGCCCUUUGCCAACACGUUUCUUGAAUACGUUUGCGAACACAACCCUGUAAAUUUAUUAUAAGCCAGUGUGUUGUACCGCGAAAUUAUAAGGACUGAUAAUUAUUGUACAUAAUGUGUCAAAUAUUGAACUUGAGAAUGAACAAAUCGUCUCAUAUUUAUUAAUAUUUUAUUUUUUCGUAGAUGAUAAUUUGUUAGAGUGAGUGAAUGUUGUUGACAUUACGAUGGUUGAUUAUUUUUAAUUGUAACAUCUUAGCAUUAUUUAGUUUGUGUUUCAAUGGAUACAUUUGUUUCUUCAAGUCUUAACAUAAACUUUCACCGAUAUCUCUCACACGCCAUCUUCAGGAUCUUUAGUUAAAAACGUAGCUACAUAGAUGAUUAGCUUGUGUAAUGACGUCUAUAGAUGUGGCGUGUGGCUGAAAAGGUUAAACAAGGGUUUAAAAAAUACAAGUAACUACUCGUAGUGCAAUUAUAGCGGCAUUGUUGUGUGUGAAGCCAAAAGCAGUAACGCAACAUAAUAAUAUUAAAUUUAUGGAAUUAUUUCGCUGCGGUUGGACUUACGCUUCGGACGGUCGCUUUACACUGGGUUGUAUUUCGCUUUUGCUUGUUGUCCGCGAUCAUUACAGUGUCAACUCUUUGAACAUAAUAAAUUGUAACUCGUGGAGGCAACAUCAGGCGGUUUAGCAUGAGUUGCGUUCUCGCGCGCGACUCCAUACAUCAAGCGCGACUUCAAGUAUGGACACGCGCGCGAGAACGCAACUUAUGCUAUUAUGCUAGACGGCAAGACCACCAAAUGUAUCCAUGGAAACGCGUUUACCAUUGACCUCAUGCAUCAUAUUAGCGCUUCUACAGCGGGGCAACGACUAGAUUAUUGUAAAUUAAUUGUAAACGACUCUAAUAAUAUUAACUGUACACAUUUUUAUUUUGUAAUAAUUCCCUUUCUGACAGUGAGAUGUGGCCUUAAACUGGGUACAUUUGCUGUUGUUAAUAUGUAAAUAAAAGUUGAAAUAUUGUAAAUAAUAAAAAUAUAAAAUUAUAUGUUUUUUGCUAUAAA